AGUGAACGCUGGCGGUAGGCCUAACACAUGCAAGUCGAACGGCAGCACAGUAAGAGCUUGCUUUUACGGGUGGCGGGUGGCGGAUGGGUGAGGAAUACAUAGGAUUCUACUAUUUCGUGGGGGAUAACGUAGGGAAACGUACGCUAAUACCGCAUACGAUCUACGGGUGAAUGCAGUGGUGCUUCGGACCUUGCCCGAGUGAAUGAGACGAUGUCGGAUUAGCUAGGUGGCGAGGUAAAGGCCCACCAAGGCGACGAUCCGUAGCUGGGCUGACACGAUGGUGCGCCCCACUGGAACUGAGAAAAGGUCCAUAAUCCUAAGGGAGGCAGCCAGUGGGAAUAUUGGACAAUGGGCGCAAGCCUGGUCCAGGCAUGCCGGGUGGAUGGAGGAGGCCUUCGGGUUGUAAAGCCCUUUUGUUGGGAGAAAAAAACAGCAGGAUAAUACCACGCUGUUCUGACGGUACCCAAAGAAUAAGGACCGGCUAACUUCGUG
RNAcentral lists this ribosomal RNA (492 nucleotides) under uncultured bacterium. RNAcentral describes it as "partial 16S ribosomal RNA". It matches the Rfam family "Bacterial small subunit ribosomal RNA", at positions 29 to 507 of the family's 1533-position model. The record is from RNAcentral.